ACUCCUACGGGAGGCAGCAGUAGGGAAUCUUCCACAAUGGGCGCAAGCCUGAUGGAGCAACACCGCGUGAGUGAAGAAGGGUUUCGGCUCGUAAAGCUCUGUUGUUAAAGAAGAACACGUAUGAGAGUAACUGUUCAUACGUUGACGGUAUUUAACCAGAAAGUCACGGCUAACUACGUGCCAGCAGCCGCGGUAAUACGUAGGUGGCAAGCGUUAUCCGGAUUUAUUGGGCGUAAAGAGAGUGCAGGCGGUUUUCUAAGUCUGAUGUGAAAGCCUUCGGCUUAACCGGAGAAGUGCAUCGGAAACUGGAUAACUUGAGUGCAGAAGAGGGUAGUGGAACCUCCAUGUGUAGCGGUGGAAUGCGUAGAUAUAUGGAAG
This 378-nucleotide ribosomal RNA is filed under the name uncultured bacterium. RNAcentral describes it as "bacterial SSU rRNA". It matches the Rfam family "Bacterial small subunit ribosomal RNA", at positions 335 to 704 of the family's 1533-position model. The record is from RNAcentral.